Molecule: long non-coding RNA, 395 nt
Filed under: Parus major (Great Tit)
Lineage: Eukaryota; Metazoa; Chordata; Aves; Passeriformes; Paridae
Description: lncRNA (ENSPMJG00000014466.1)
Source: RNAcentral
GGAAGGAGGAGGAGGAAGAGGAGGGGGAGGACGGGAGGGAAGGAAGCCUUGUAAUAAUCCAGCAUCAUCCUGAAUGAUAACACUGAAUUAUUCAGGAGGCUCCUUAAAAGGGGGGUUAAAUCAAGGCUGAAACAAAAGAGGAGCGAGGCCAUUGUGAGGCCUGGCUCCUUCCAUGCGGAAUCUGGGCAGGAGAAGGGAAGCAGGGCCGGGAAAAGUCCUUCCAGAGUCACCCAGAGGAGCAGAAUGGACUCGGUGGCGUGGCAGGGCAGAGCUGUCCAGAAGGGUUUGAGAUCUCCUAGAGCAGCUAAAAAAACCAAAGCAAGGCGGAGAGCGUGAGAAGAGCCUGAUGAAAUAUUGAAGAUUUGAAGAUGAUAUCUUUAUUUUCCGUUGGGUUU